RNAcentral lists this ribosomal RNA (509 nucleotides) under uncultured fungus. RNAcentral describes it as "eukaryotic LSU rRNA". It matches the Rfam family "Eukaryotic large subunit ribosomal RNA", at positions 24 to 664 of the family's 3401-position model. The record is from RNAcentral. Lineage: Eukaryota; Fungi.
CCCGCUGAACUUAAGCAUAUCAGUAAGCGGUGGAAAAGAAACUAACAAGGAUUCCCGCAGUAACUGCGAGUGAAGAGGGAUCAGCCCAGCCUUGGAAUCUGCGGCCGGCGGUCGCAGAGUUGUGGGUUGGUGUGCCGAUGCCCUGCGCUUCGACCUCGCCUAACUGGCCCGGAAUGGCCGGACAUAGAGGGUGAUAUUCCUGUGUGGCGGGGUCGUUGCGUUCGGCGCGGCUCGUAGAGUCGGACUGUUUGGGAUUGCAGUUUGAAGUGGGUGGUAGACUCCAUCUAAGGCUAAAUACGAACGAGAGACCGAUAGCGAACAAGUACCGUGAGGGAAAACUGAAAAGGGCCUUGGAAAGGGGGUCAAAAGUCCGUGAAAUUGCUGCCAGGGAACCGGGUGGCUGCGCGGUGUCGGGUGGCUUCUGCCCCCGAACAGUUUCCGGCUUUCUGAGCCGGCGGAGUGUGUAUUCCCAAACUGAGCGCGGCCAGCCGACCCGUCUUGAAACACGG